RNAcentral lists this ribosomal RNA (497 nucleotides) under uncultured bacterium. RNAcentral describes it as "partial 16S ribosomal RNA". It matches the Rfam family "Bacterial small subunit ribosomal RNA", at positions 28 to 507 of the family's 1533-position model. The record is from RNAcentral.
GAUGAACGCUGGCGGCGUGCCUAAUACAUGCAAGUCGAGCGAACAGACGAGGAGCUUGCUCCUCUAACGUUAGCGGCGGACGGGUGAGUAACACGUGGAUAACCUACCUAUAAGACUGGGAUAACUUCGGGAAACCGGAGCUAAUACCGGAUAAUAUAUUGAACCGCAUGGUUCAAUAGUGAAAGACGGUUUUGCUGUCACUUAUAGAUGGAUCCGCGCCGCAUUAGCUAGUUGGUAAGGUAACGGCUUACCAAGGCGACGAUGCGUAGCCGACCUGCGAGGGUGAUCGGCCACACUGGAACUGAGACACGGUCCAGACUCCUACGGGAGGCAGCAGUAGGGAAUCUUCCGCAAUGGGCGAAAGCCUGACGGAGCAACGCCGCGUGAGUGAUGAAGGUCUUCGGAUCGUAAAACUCUGUUAUUAGGGAAGAACAAAUGUGUAAGUAACUAUGCACGUCUUGACGGUACCUAAUCAGAAAGCCACGGCUAACUACGUG